AGAACGAACGCUGGCGGCAGGCUUAACACAUGCAAGUCGAGCGCCCCGCAAGGGGAGCGGCAGACGGGUGAGUAACGCGUGGGAACAUACCCUCCGGUUCGGAAUAGCUCAGGGAAACUUGGAUUAAUACCGGAUACGGCCUAGCGGCGAAAGAUUCAUCGCCGGAGGAUUGGCCCGCGUUCGAUUAACUAGUUGGUGAGGUAACGGCUCACCAAGGCGACGAUCGAUAGCUGGUCUGAGAGGAUGAUCAGCCACAUUGGGACUGAGACACGGCCCAAACUCCUACGGGAGGCAGCAGUGGGGAAUAUUGGACAAUGGGCGCAAGCCUGAUCCAGCCAUGCCGCGUGAGUGAUGACGGCCUUAGGGUUGUAAAGCUCUUUCGCUAGGGACGAUAAUGACGGUACCUAGACAAGAAGCCCGGCUAACUUCGUGCCAGCAGCCGC
RNAcentral lists this ribosomal RNA (443 nucleotides) under uncultured bacterium. RNAcentral's name for it is "SSU rRNA". It matches the Rfam family "Bacterial small subunit ribosomal RNA", at positions 26 to 518 of the family's 1533-position model. The record is from RNAcentral.